CCCCAAACGACACUCCACAACCACGCCACCUCCACGACGCCGCCACAGCCCCUCCCUUCCCUUCCCUUCUCCCGGUUCUCCGUCAGCCCGGCACUCGGCCACCAACACCCGCAGAGAACGGACGGAUCAAGCAGAAGCACCAUGACCACCUACUUCAGCUACCCCGCCCCUGAGCUUCAGGCCGAGCUCCGGCGCAUCGCCAACGCCAUCGUGGCCCCGGGGAAGGGCAUCCUGGCCGCCGACGAGUCCACGGGCACCAUGGGCAAAGCGCCUCUCCAACAUCGGCCUCGAGAACACCGACGAGAACAGACGGAAGUACCGCCAACUGCUCUUCACUUCCGACAAGGAGCUCGGAAACUACAUCUCGGGUGUGAUUCUUUUCCACGAGACACUCUACCAGAAAACAGAUGACGGUCGCCCCUUCGUCGAUCUCAUCAAGCAACUCGGGAUCAUCCCCGGAAUUAAGGUCGACAAGGGUGUCGUUCCCCUCAUGGGAUCUGAAGGCGAGAGCACAACCCAGGGUCUCGAUGACCUCUCCCAGCGCUGUGCUCAGUACAAGAAGGACGGCUGUGACUUCGCUAAGUGGCGCUGCGUCCUGAAGGUCGGCACCAACACCCCCAGCUACCAGGGCAUGCUGGAGAACGCCAAUGUCCUCGCUCGCUACGCUUCCAUCUGCCAGAUGAACGGCCUCGUGCCCAUUGUUGAGCCCGAGGUGCUGAUGGACGGCAGCCACGACCUGGACCGCGCCCAGAAGGUCACCGAGGCCGUCCUGUCCUUCACAUACAAGGCCCUCGUAGACCACCACGUCUUCCUCGAAGGCACUUUGCUCAAGCCCAACAUGGUCCUCGCCGGCCAGGAAUGCCCCACCAAGUACACACCCCAGCAGGCUGCCACGGCCACCGUCCUGGCCCUGUCCCGCACCGUGCCCGCCGCCGUGCCCGGCAUCUGCUUCCUCUCCGGCGGCCAGUCUGAGGAGGAGGCGACGGUGCACCUGGACGCCAUCAACAAGUGCACGGCCGGCAGGAAGCCUUGGGCGCUCACCUUCAGCUACGGCCGAGCCCUGCAGGCGUCGGCCCUGAAGGCGUGGAGCGGCAAGGACGUCAAGGCCGGUCAGGCCGAGCUCAUGAAGAGAGCCAAGGCCAACGGAGCCGCCGCCUUGGGCAAGUACGCGGCUGGCACUGUCGCUGGUGCCGCCGGCGACGAGGGCCUCUUCGUCAAGAAUCACCAGUACUAGACGCCCUUCGAGAACCGCUAGUACAAGGACGACCUCGAAGCCAUCACGCGAGGAAUGGAGUCGUCCUCCCUCCCUCUCUCUUCUCUCUCUUUCCUUCCAUCCUUUUGUCAUCGUCAAAAUGUCAUCUUUCUUCCGGAGAUUUGUCUCUGAUACCCCGUCCCCCCCAUCUCUGCGGUUGAGUUGUCAUGAUGGAAUGAACUUAUGGAUUUCUGUUUAAAGAUUUGAGAAUUGUUAUUCUUUCAGAGGACAUGUUCGAAAGUGUUAUAGGUAUAUAUAUAUGUGUAUCUCAAGUGCCGAGUUACCACCACCCACCCUUAUGUGUACCUAAUGAUAUUUAAAAUGUUGAAUCUGUCAGCAUUCCAUUUGUGACGCUUUCAUUUAAAACAAUAAAAUCAAGGAAUGUAA
Molecule: RNA transcript, 1639 nt
Organism: Penaeus chinensis
Lineage: Eukaryota; Metazoa; Arthropoda; Malacostraca; Decapoda; Penaeidae
Gene name: fructose-bisphosphate aldolase-like
Exons: 6
Source: RefSeq, a predicted model, not a curated record